This 445-nucleotide ribosomal RNA is filed under the name uncultured bacterium. RNAcentral's name for it is "bacterial SSU rRNA". It matches the Rfam family "Bacterial small subunit ribosomal RNA", at positions 30 to 475 of the family's 1533-position model. The record is from RNAcentral.
AUUGAACGCUGGCGGCAUGCCUAACACAUGCAAGUCGAACGGCAGCACGGGAGCUUGCUCCUGGUGGCGAGUGGCGGACGGGUGAGUAAUGCAUAGGAAUCUGCCCAGUAGCGGGGGACAACUUGGGGAAACUCAAGCUAAUACCGCAUGCGCCCUACGGGGGAAAGCGGGGGACCUUCGGGCCUCGCACUAUUGGAUGAGCCUAUGUCAGAUUAGCUUGUUGGUGGGGUAACGGCCUACCAAGGCGACGAUCUGUAGCUGGUCUGAGAGGACGAUCAGCCACACUGGGACUGAGACACGGCCCAGACUCCUACGGGAGGCAGCAGUGGGGAAUAUUGCACAAUGGGCGAAAGCCUGAUGCAGCAAUGCCGCGUGUGUGAAGAAGGCCUGCGGGUUGUAAAAGCACUUUCAGUAGGAGGAAACAGUAGCCGGUUAAUAUCGUUCG